UUAACUAUUAUAUAGUACUCAGACAUCACUAAAAUUCAGAGUUUGGUCCUCUGGCAGGCACACGCAGGCAGAGCCCGCGGUGGAGGCCACGGCCUGCCAAAGCAACUAAGGUAUAAGUAUUCAAGGGUGGGAGAUCUACCCGUGAGGGCAUGAACUCUGUAAUGAUCCUUCCGCAGGUUCACCUACGGAAA
This 191-nucleotide unclassified non-coding RNA is filed under the name uncultured fungus. Its description in RNAcentral is "sequence contains ITS1". The record is from RNAcentral. Lineage: Eukaryota; Fungi.